RNAcentral lists this ribosomal RNA (970 nucleotides) under Lactobacillus delbrueckii subsp. bulgaricus. RNAcentral's name for it is "bacterial SSU rRNA". It matches the Rfam family "Bacterial small subunit ribosomal RNA", at positions 120 to 1076 of the family's 1533-position model. The record is from RNAcentral. Lineage: Bacteria; Bacillati; Bacillota; Bacilli; Lactobacillales; Lactobacillaceae.
GGCAAUCUGCCCUAAAGACUGGGAUACCACUUGGAAACAGGUGCUAAUACCGGAUAACAACAUGAAUCGCAUGAUUCAAGUUUGAAAGGCGGCGUAAGCUGUCACUUUAGGAUGAGCCCGCGGCGCAUUAGCUAGUUGGGGGGUAAAGGCCUACCAAGGCAAUGAUGCGUAGCCGAGUUGAGAGACUGAUCGGCCACAUUGGGACUGAGACACGGCCCAAACUCCUACGGGAGGCAGCAGUAGGGAAUCUUCCACAAUGGACGCAAGUCUGAUGGAGCAACGCCGCGUGAGUGAAGAAGGUUUUCGGAUCGUAAAGCUCUGUUGUUGGUGAAGAAGGAUAGAGGCAGUAACUGGUCUUUAUUUGACGGUAAUCAACCAGAAAGUCACGGCUAACUACGUGCCAGCAGCCGCGGUAAUACGUAGGUGGCAAGCGUUGUCCGGAUUUAUUGGGCGUAAAGCGAGCGCAGGCGGAAUGAUAAGUCUGAUGUGAAAGCCCACGGCUCAACCGUGGAACUGCAUCGGAAACUGUCAUUCUUGAGUGCAGAAGAGGAGAGUGGAAUUCCAUGUGUAGCGGUGGAAUGCGUAGAUAUAUGGAAGAACACCAGUGGCGAAGGCGGCUCUCUGGUCUGCAACUGACGCUGAGGCUCGAAAGCAUGGGUAGCGAACAGGAUUAGAUACCCUGGUAGUCCAUGCCGUAAACGAUGAGCGCUAGGUGUUGGGGACUUUCCGGUCCUCAGUGCCGCAGCAAACGCAUUAAGCGCUCCGCCUGGGGAGUACGACCGCAAGGUUGAAACUCAAAGGAAUUGACGGGGGCCCGCACAAGCGGUGGAGCAUGUGGUUUAAUUCGAAGCAACGCGAAGAACCUUACCAGGUCUUGACAUCCUGUGCUACACCUAGAGAUAGGUGGUUCCCUUCGGGGACGCAGAGACAGGUGGUGCAUGGCUGUCGUCAGCUCGUGUCGUGAGAUGUU